RNAcentral lists this ribosomal RNA (162 nucleotides) under uncultured bacterium. RNAcentral describes it as "partial 16S ribosomal RNA". It matches the Rfam family "Bacterial small subunit ribosomal RNA", at positions 372 to 526 of the family's 1533-position model. The record is from RNAcentral.
UGGGCGAAAGCCUGAUCCAGCCAUGCCGCGUGUGUGAAGAAGGUCUUCGGAUUGUAAAGCACUUUAAGUUGGGAGGAAGGGCAGUAAAUUAAUACUUUGCUGUUUUGACGUUACCGACAGAAUAAGCACCGGCUAACUCUGUGCCAGCAGCCGCGGUAAUAA